CAUCAAUUAUAAACCAUAAAGUUACAAAUUUAUACUUGUAACCUCGAUUCCUUCUAUUUGUAUGCUUAACUUUGUCUCCUCCUUUAACAGUUAACUCAUAAGUUGGUUUCGAGAGACCAUUCUUAAAAUCGCUGGGUUGAAUCAAUCCUCUCCAUAUUUCCAUAGGGAUGUCCUCGGACCUUUUAAUUCUGAAAAGGAAAAAAAAAAGAAAAGAAGAUAAACUCAGCUCAACAUAGAAGCAUAAUAAAAUUGACAACUUGGAGAAAAUAAAGCCUAGAAAUGACAACAAACAAUAUCACAAAGCUGUCAGGAAUUUCAAUAAUACUCAAUUGAAAUAAUCAACACAUCCACACAAAUUCAAACCCAAUUACAUGAAAUAAUAUAUCAAUUAAUAUUAUUUGGCUAAUGAUCCACUUCAUAUCCAUUUGAUUAUCAACAAACAUCGUGUUAGUUAAAAUUUUAGUUUAAUCGGCUUAGUUAACAUGGAAGAUUGGUUUUCAACAAAGAUGUAGGACAUGGAUCACCAAUCUACAUGAGACUAUGAGANNNNNNNNNNNNNNNNNNNNNNNNNNNNNNNNNNNNNNNNNNNNNNNNNNNNNNNNNNNNNNGAAAUAGCUUAAGCACACAGCCAUACACCAAAAAACCAACAAAGAGCCUAGCCACACCCAGUGCACAGAAAUGAAAAAAUAGGUCCUGACUUACAAAAAACACAGAAAUAAACUGUGAGGCACUCAGCACCAAGAGCAAGUUCGAACCCAGCCAGAGAAACAAACCAAUAGUCACGAAAAAACCAGCACUACCUAACAAAACAAAAUUGAGGUUCACAAGACCAUUCAUAAAGAAAACAAGGCAUAAUUUGACAACUGCUAUAUAAAUCAUAGUCAUACUUAAUAAGGCAUACUUUGACAAUAUUUAAUAGUCAUACUUUAACAUGACAAUCAAUUCAUUUACUUACAAUUUUAUCGGCAACAAGGGGUGUUUCUUUUGAUGUGUACUCUCCUGAUGAUGUUUUUUGGCCCCUUAUGCACUUCUCAUAGUGUUUUGUUGGUGUAGGUAUUUAUUACAAGCCUGAAACAAUUUUCCCCUCUCUUGUUUCUCCUGUUAUAAAUAACACACCAGAAACUCUUAACAAUAAUCACUUGGUUUCAACUAUAUAUAAAAAUAUAAAACACAAUUCAUGUAAAUACAAAACAUAAUUAAGAGAUAGUUAGAUAAGAGUUAGAUAAUGCUGGAGUAGUUUUGGCUACAAUAAAUGUAUGCAUAUAUAGUGUAUUAAUGUUGGAAAUUUACAUGAAUAUAAGAGCUCAAUAUCCUCUGGAAUGAAAUUUACUUUAUAGUGCUUCCGGUGUCAUGAUCGAAGGAAAUUUUGUGCAUAAAUCCCAACUAUUGACUACACUUUCCUGUUUCAUCAAAAUGAUCAUUAUUUAGUGUUUUGAGAUCCAAAGUAUAGAGGUAUUUUACAAGAAACCUCACCUCUACCGCGUGAAUUGCUUUUCUGACUUCGUCAUUUGUAACAGAGCCAUCCUAAAGAUAUCGUUAGAUUGUGUUACUUGUUUUUGGCAAUAAUCAAGCAAUGAAAUCAAUUAGUAGCUAACAAGUAGAUAUUAAAUAAAUGGUAAAUAUAGAAACUUAGAUAGUAGUAAAGAAACAUAUUAUCCGAGGAGGUGUUUUGUGCAGGACAACCAUUGUCCGAGGAGCUGUUUUGUUCAAUUCUUCCCGAACAUGAUAUUCAAGGCGACUCCAGAUAUCAAAGCGCCAUCACUGCAGAAAAAGCUUCUACCCAACAAAUCCCACUUAGACAUAUAUUUUCAACAACCAAAUUCAUCAUCAAUACAAGUAGCAGACUUAAACCAAGAUGUGAUAAGGGACCUUGUUCAACUAAUCCACAACAUAAAAAGUAACCAAUUCAAGUCAUGCAUACUAUAUUUCAUAAAUUAGCAAGUAUAUACAAGUUAAUUAAGAUAUGCAUAUCAGUAGCUACAAAACUAGUUACACUGAGAUAUCAUUAGACUCUUUCAAGUGUCUGUUUCCUUAGAAAUUAUUCCUUUUCCUUAUAAUUCAUUAAUCAACCAACAAAUACACAUAUUUGGUACAUAUAUUUUAAGCAAACAUCAAUCACAUGAUCAAAGUCAAGAAAACAGAAACUUUUUAUCUUAUAUCAGCAAUUAUAUUUUUAAGUAAAAUCCAUCAUUUCUUAUUUAGACUCAUAUAAGGCAUGCGGUUCCUAACCAUUUCUUCCACUAAUCAAAUGCUGAAAUUUCAAACAUUAUAGGCCUAUAGUUCCUGAUCUCUUCAAACAUUAAAUUUAAUCAUACCGCCAACAUCAUCCUACAUGCAAGAUCAAAAAAAUCACUUAACACUUUAGAUAGAACCCACAUAAACACAAGAAGAUGAAUAGCCAUUCCUUAAUUAAAUUUCACUUAAAUUUAACUAUCAAUUGCUCAUAUGAUCAAGUAAUCAAUUGCUCAAAUGAUCAAGUACAAGGUGUACAUAGAUAAUUGCAAAAAGCUACAAUCAAAACAAAAUAAGAACCAAAGUCUGACUUGCUCUAAAUAUAAGUAAAACAACCCAAAAGCUAUUAUACUAGAAGAGCAAAAACAGAAUUGACACAUAGUGUUAUACCACAGGGCGAAAUAGCAACAGAAGCACUACACACCAUAUAAGUAGAAAUAGAAAAACUAGUAGAAAACAGUCCCUGCAUAAAAACCAAUGACACGUACGGCAGAAACAAAGACAUUGCGAAAAUAGAACCGUCACCUGAGGAGUGGAGUAUGAUAUAUGGUUGUUUGUUCUUGUCUUGUCUGGCUUCUAACAGAUACAAAGUUUGUUUACUGUGUUGAAUCAAUGUAGAUGUUGUCAUGAGGAAGAUAGAAUCCGGAGGAAAUUUCCCUAAAAAUAUAAGGGAAAGAACUUGCGUGAGGAAGAAAAAUAUUGCACAACAAAGUCUACCAAGAAAAAUAUUGCACAACAAAGUCUACCAUGAUAACAAAGUCUACUUACAGAGCAUCUAUUUGGAAUUAAUAACAACAUUAGGACCUAAAAGGGGCAUUUACUUGAAUCUGCAAGUACUUAACAUAGCCAUGUAAAUGUGACAACACCAGAAUUUUGGUGCAAUCCAAACUGAGUCAAGUUAAGUAAAUAGAAAUGUGAACUUCCAAAAGGGAACUCAACAAUAAUGUAGAGGAUGCUUCUAAACUUGAAACAAUAAACAACCAAAUACUCAGUGGUAAAACAUACAGGACACACUCUAACUCAAUCUACUCUAGCAACUUCUAACACCUUGUAAAACACACCUAGCAGUCAAUAAAGCAGAGUAGUAAAAAUACUCUCAUAAUAUAGUGCACAUGUAAAUUGACACCCACAAACAACUCUUAAUUGAUUUGGCAAUGUAAAUUGAACAUUGCACUGAAUUGAAAAUCAUAUAAUGUAACAGGGGAUGGUUAUAACUGAAUUAACCUUGUUCUUUUCAUUUGUGUAAAUAAUCAAAGAAAGAAAGAAAAGGACUUGAAGAAAUUUGGUUUCAAAUUUAGUUUUUUAAGUGUAUUAUUAUUAUUUUCUUUUUUAAGAAUCUUCUUUUCCCAACAAGUUAAAUUGCAGCACAGAAACGUCUCUGCUUAUUGAAACUAAACCUAAACUAGAUUAUAAAAUAGACGAGAAAACAAAUCGAAGCUUAGAAAACAAUAUCAACACAUAAAAUUGAAAUAAAAAACAGUUGGGAGCUACACACUGAGAAAAAGAUAGAUACCUAUAGGUUAAGAAGUGUCGAUAGAUGAAGAUGAUGAGAAAGCUACAACGACUGAAUGCGAAGAUGGCGGCAACGGCGAAGAGGACCCUUGAAAACUCUGAGCGCACAAUGAAGCGAAACAAAAGGGGAAAUUAGAAUGAGAAUCCAUUGAAUAAUGAAGAUAAACCAAAAUCGAAAUGGAAAGUGACCUAUCCUUUGGAAAGAUAUGGUGAGACUGUGCUUCGUCGUCGUNN
This 3978-nucleotide long non-coding RNA is filed under the name Trifolium pratense (red clover). RNAcentral's name for it is "long non-coding RNA (TPRA_LNC004948)". Lineage: Eukaryota; Viridiplantae; Streptophyta; Magnoliopsida; Fabales; Fabaceae. The record is from RNAcentral.